Molecule: ribosomal RNA, 375 nt
Filed under: uncultured bacterium
Lineage: Bacteria
Description: bacterial SSU rRNA
Rfam family: Bacterial small subunit ribosomal RNA
Source: RNAcentral
GACGAACCGUGCGAACGUUGUUCGGAAUCACUGGGCUUAAAGGGCGCGUAGGCGGGCUGCCAAGUCCGGGGUGAAAUCCUCUGGCCCAACCAGAGAACGGCCUCGGAUACUGGCGGCCUGGAGGGGGGUAGGGGCGAGCGGAACUGUGGGUGGAGCGGUGAAAUGCGUUGAUAUCCACAGGAACUCCGGUGGCGAAGGCGGCUCGCUGGACCCCACCUGACGCUGAGGCGCGAAAGCCAGGGGAGCGAACGGGAUUAGAUACCCCGGUAGUCCUGGCCCUAAACGAUGGGGACUAGGUAGUAGCCCGCGCAUGGGGUUACUGCCGGAGCAAAAGUGCUAAGUCCCCCGCCUGGGGAGUAUGGUCGCAAGGCUGAA